AAGAAACUACGAGUUGUUAACUUUGUGAGGGCCAUGGAAAUUUGCUAAAUGGAAUGCCUCAAGUUCUAGGAUUUGAACAAAUUAAUUAAAUGAGGUCCAUGCAAUUGUCAUUUUUGUUUGGCAUGAUGCACCCCAAUUUCGGAGGGCCACAAUUAUUUGUAUUAUCUAAUAUGGAACACCUCCUCUAAUUAAUGAUCUUAAUUUGCUAGAGCUAAAUGUUAUUGAAAGUUUUACUUGAACUAACUAAGGGAUCACAUGAGAAAAGACUAAUUAUUUUAAGUAAAGGGACCAGCCCAGCACAAAACGGACCAAAGGCCCAACUGAUAAAGCCUAGUUCGAAUAGCCAUUGAUGUAGGCUUAAUAUGUGAAAAUACUAGGCUCCAGAUGAAGCCUAGCUCACCGGUGUGAUAUCCAAAGAGCUAUGGUUGGAUUUGGGCCAAUGAUGACGGCCUAACACAUGCUUCAACAGAUAUAUUUGGGGCCAUGAUGAAUUAUAAUUUAAGAUAAAGUAUAAUUAAAACUUAAAUAAAUUAGUAGGAACACACCACGGGAAUUAGCUAGGAAACUUUAUACAUUAUUCAACAUUAACCACAUUGAGAAUUCAAAACCACAGUUUGACUGCAGAAAAUGCCAAAGUGACAAGGAUCCCUGCUAUUUUUAUCACAUGCUAUCUGAAUUUUGGCAAUCUACCUUGCUGAUGAUAACACUAAGUGCAUUCUACGUUUAACCAUUACUACUCAAAUUACCUACUGGGCUAUAGACCUCCCAACAACAAACUUCAACGAGCAACUCAAGUCGUCAAAUCCAAACCUCAAUGAAGGAUGCAAAAUUUAAAUUACAAUAUAUGUUAACAACAACACCUAUCACAUCCCAUCAUAACAGUCCCAAUACACAAUUACUUAAAGAGGAGUUUAAUUAGUCUAGAAUCAAAACAACAUGCAAAAUUCAAGCACACAUCUCAAAACUCACUGCAUAUCUGUGACUAAAUACAAUAUUGUUCAGAUAAUUAGUCUAAUCUAAGCAGAGAUACAUAUGAGCAGGUCCUUCAUUAUCAACUACAGGGCUAUCCUUUACAUCCCUCAUGUUCUUAAGCGUUGAAACAUACCUGGAAAUGAAAGUCAAAUGGUGUGAGAUUUAGCACUAGCAACAACACUAUCCAACAACAUAAAUGAACCAGGAAAACAACUUUUAAACCAUAAAGUGAUGCUCAACAGUCAAAAGUUCACAACCAAAACUUCAAAAACCAACUGUUAAAACACCAGCCUCGAAUCAACUCAACCCUGAUAGCUCAUAAACCAUUUCAUGAAUUGGAAAUUGAGGAGAUAAAUGAAACAACGACUCCAACAAAUUUCAAAACCAAGACCCCUUCUAUAGCACCCAAAAUAAACCAAGUUUAAUCCAUUUCAACCUCAAGCUAUUCAGAAAAUUAUUUCAGAAAGUGACGGCUUCAGAAAUCAAAAGAAAACAACUCAAUGAAAUAAUAGAAAAUCUUUCGUUUGGUAUUUUUCUAGAUUUCUAUCCCUGAACCCUCUUGCAAGCCAAGAAUAAGGUACCUUUAUAGGCAAGCAAAUAUGGCAGACCCUAGGAUUUUAACUCUG
RNAcentral lists this long non-coding RNA (1598 nucleotides) under Nicotiana benthamiana. Its description in RNAcentral is "long non-coding RNA (NBEN_LNC005904)". Lineage: Eukaryota; Viridiplantae; Streptophyta; Magnoliopsida; Solanales; Solanaceae. The record is from RNAcentral.